RNAcentral lists this ribosomal RNA (248 nucleotides) under Lophiostoma sp. MA 4558. Its description in RNAcentral is "18S ribosomal RNA". It matches the Rfam family "Eukaryotic small subunit ribosomal RNA", at positions 1579 to 1824 of the family's 1831-position model. The record is from RNAcentral. Lineage: Eukaryota; Fungi; Ascomycota; Dothideomycetes; Pleosporales; Lophiostomataceae.
GAGCAUUGCAAUUAUUGCUCUUCAACGAGGAAUGCCUAGUAAGCGCGUGUCAUCAGCACGCGUUGAUUACGUCCCUGCCCUUUGUACACACCGCCCGUCGCUACUACCGAUUGAAUGGCUCAGUGAGGCCUUCGGACUGGCUCAGGGAGGUUGGCAACGACCACCCCGAGCCGGAAAGUUGGUCAAACUCGGUCAUUUAGAGGAAGUAAACAUCGUAACAAGGUUUCCGUAGGUGAACCUGCGGAAGG